GUCAAGGACCAUGUCCUGGGGAUGGCAACGUUCAUGCCACUGACGGGUGAGAACAAGAAGAAGUGGAGCCGUCACCUCAUCAUGGCCCGAAAUGAGGGGUUGAUGGAGUGAGUGAGCCAUGCCGGUGGAAGAUCAAUGUUGUUAUCUUUGCUAUGCUGUUAAUUAGUAACUUUGGACUUCAUUAUCUUUGCCGCCCGGAACCCUAGCCAAAUUUGCUAUGCUAUUAUCUUUUGUUUGUAAUAUCAAUGGACUAUUUC
This 257-nucleotide long non-coding RNA is filed under the name Setaria viridis. Its description in RNAcentral is "long non-coding RNA (SVIR_LNC006524)". Lineage: Eukaryota; Viridiplantae; Streptophyta; Magnoliopsida; Poales; Poaceae. The record is from RNAcentral.